Molecule: transfer RNA, 74 nt
Filed under: Paracoccaceae bacterium
Lineage: Bacteria; Pseudomonadati; Pseudomonadota; Alphaproteobacteria; Rhodobacterales; Paracoccaceae
Description: tRNA-Thr
Source: RNAcentral
GCCAGUGCAACUUCUGCUUUGUUGACUGAUUUGUAAUCAGUAGGUCCGCGGUUCGAGUCCGUGUUGGGGCACCA